Hirundo rustica (Barn swallow) is the source of this 511-nucleotide long non-coding RNA. RefSeq lists it as uncharacterized. The transcript has 3 exons. Lineage: Eukaryota; Metazoa; Chordata; Aves; Passeriformes; Hirundinidae. The record is from RefSeq and is a predicted model, not a curated record.
GUUUGGAGUGAUGGCAUCUGAUUUCCCAAGUUACCAUCAUGCGUGCUGGAGCCCUGCUCUUGUGGGGAUGGCUGAACAUUUGCCUGCCCAUGGGAAAGAUCCUGCUGAUUGGGGAGUGAACAAGUGACUGCGUGGGGCUCAGUGCUGGCUGGGAUUAAACCACAACAUCCCGAUACUGCCCUGCUCUUAGAAACUUAUUUGUUGUACAAUGUACAUCAGAAAAUAGUAGUGCCUAGUAGAUGUACAUCAGAAAUAUUAUGGACACGCUUUAGAACUGAGCUGAAGAAAUUUUUUGAUCAAGAUUUGCACUAGAUACUCUUCACAGCCAUCAUGGAGUUCUGGCAUGGAGGAAAAAGAAUGGAGAUUUUCUCUUUCGAGCUGCAAGUAGAACAUAAGUUUUAUUUUAUAGAGUGAAUGCAACCCAGUCAAGCAGAUGUUCUUUCAUGACUAGAGCCUUGGGUGGAUUCUUAAAAUAGUACUCAUUAUAGUUAUUCCAUCAAAAAUAAUUUAG